UGUGAACUGGAAAAAUAGUAAAAGCCACUCCAUUAGACUCCAGAAUACCCGCAGCACGAAGUAUACGCUGAAAUUUAUCCAGAAAACCCUGGGAAUCCUCGCCCUCAAAACCAUUGAAUGUUGGAGGCUGAAGCCAACCGAACCUCUCUAAAUGUCGCUGCUCGUCGUCCGGCAUAUUUGGGACCACAUGAGAUGGGGCCAACGCGACUGGCGCAACUGGAACAACCGGUGCAACUGGAGCAAUUGGCUGAACUGGAGCUACC
RNAcentral lists this long non-coding RNA (263 nucleotides) under Nicotiana benthamiana. Its description in RNAcentral is "long non-coding RNA (NBEN_LNC003083)". The record is from RNAcentral. Lineage: Eukaryota; Viridiplantae; Streptophyta; Magnoliopsida; Solanales; Solanaceae.